Molecule: ribosomal RNA, 247 nt
Filed under: uncultured bacterium
Lineage: Bacteria
Description: partial 16S ribosomal RNA
Rfam family: Bacterial small subunit ribosomal RNA
Source: RNAcentral
AUACGGAGGGUGCGAGCGUUGUUCGGAAUUAUUGGGCGUAAGGCGCGUGUAGGCGGUUUGUUAAGUCUGAUGUGAAAGCCCCGGGCUCAACCUGGGAAGUGCAUUGGAUACUGGCAGACUUGAAUACGGGAGAGGGCAGUGGAAUUCCUGGUGUAGGAGUGAAAUCCGUAGAUAUCCGGAGGAACACCGGAGGCGAAGGCGAUCUCUUGGUUCGAUACUGACGCUGAGGCGCGAAAGCGUGGGGAUC